Molecule: non-coding RNA, 77 nt
Organism: Podarcis lilfordi (Lilford's wall lizard)
Lineage: Eukaryota; Metazoa; Chordata; Lepidosauria; Squamata; Lacertidae
Source: the annotation of a GenBank genome assembly
GGAGAAGGGCUGUAGCUCAGUGGGAGAGCAUCUGAUGUGCAUGCAGAAGGUCUCUGGUUUAAUCCCAAGCAUCUCCA